Onychostoma macrolepis is the source of this 397-nucleotide long non-coding RNA. RefSeq lists it as uncharacterized. The transcript is spliced from 4 exons. The record is from RefSeq and is a predicted model, not a curated record. Lineage: Eukaryota; Metazoa; Chordata; Actinopteri; Cypriniformes; Cyprinidae.
ACAAAGAAUAUCGUUUACAUGUAUUGCGUCAAUUCUGCAUGUUAUGAAAGACUCUCUUGCUCUGUAUCUUUCUUUGCGUGCGUGAGAAAGCGACGGAGAGGUGUGCGCCUUCACACUAGAGUUUAUGCGGUAAAGCUUCUGGAGGCGAUAACAUUACAUUUAAAUGACCGGAUGAUCCAAACUUUCCCGCGACCUGUCCUCCUCCUAGUGUCUCUAACGUUAAACCGGAUGUGUUAUCUUUCAGGUGGUCUCAUAAGACUAGAGUCGUGAGUCAUUUUCUCUGUGCUGACCACAGGCCAUUCAGAUGGGCUGAUGAUAAAGUCUGGAGGUGUCUGGAGAGGAGAGUUGUGUUUCCAAACCAGCCGCAUCAUCAGAAGUGUCACAGUCAAUUUCGUCC